UGGCGCGGCUUUCAGCGUUUUGAAAAAGGUGUCAUGGGGUGUCGGGGGUCGGAGGUUCAAAUCCUCUCGUGCCGACCA
Molecule: transfer RNA, 78 nt
Filed under: Klebsiella quasipneumoniae subsp. similipneumoniae
Lineage: Bacteria; Pseudomonadati; Pseudomonadota; Gammaproteobacteria; Enterobacterales; Enterobacteriaceae
Also listed under: 1 other name
Description: tRNA-Pro
Source: RNAcentral